This 305-nucleotide ribosomal RNA is filed under the name uncultured bacterium. RNAcentral describes it as "bacterial SSU rRNA". It matches the Rfam family "Bacterial small subunit ribosomal RNA", at positions 335 to 657 of the family's 1533-position model. The record is from RNAcentral.
UGUCCUACGGGGCGCAGCAGUGGGGAAUAUUGCACAAUGGGGGAAACCCUGAUGCAGCGACGCCGCGUGAAGGAAGAAGUAUUUCGGUAUGUAAACUUCUGUCAGCAGGGAAGAAAAUGACGGUACCUGACUAAGAAGCCCCGGCUAACUACGUGCCAGCAGCCGCGGUAAUACGUAGGGGGCAAGCGUUAUCCGGAUUUACUGGGUGUAAAGGGAGCGCAGGCGGCGCGUUAAGCCUGGUGUGAAAGCCCGCGGCCCAACCGCGGGACUGCAUUGGGAACUGGCGCGCUGGAGUGCCGGAGGGG